GUAGAGUCGAGGAAAUAUAGAAGAAGCGGCGAACUCUACGGUGAUAAAUUCCGGAGAACCGUCAGACUUGCCGCGAUCGGUUGUCGGGUCGGACCACCGAGGUUGGGUUCGCUGGCUUUAGGGUUAGAUCAGUCGCGUAUUUUUCUUUUUCUUAUUAUUCUUCUUGCGACGUUGCUGCUGCUUGUCGAGUGCGUUUCGUCAGACGCGAGGAUCGCCCAGAUUCGUUUUCCUCCUUCCGUCUUCGCCUCUUCAAAGCUCUUAUUAUAUGCGUGUACAUAUAUUAGGAUUUUUAUGUCAAUUCUAACCCGUGCCUGUAAACGGACGGAUAUCACCAUUUAAAAUACACGAGUUUCGGACACACUCUCAGCAUGUAUUUUAUUGCAAGCGUGACGAUGUUCGAAUCCAUCUGUAAUUGCCAAGAUUCAAAUUAAGAGACGACGAUCGCUCAGUCUCAACGACUUGACCCUUAGCUAGCUGGCGUGUGAGACCGAAGAAGGGAGGCGGAGGUGAUAAAGAGAGAUGAAAUAGACGGAUCGGACGGAAGUCAACGACCCGGGGUGGCGGCGCGAAGCUGUGAUUCUAUAAAGGUAGCUGCGUCAAGACGAAAAGGCGAAAAGACGAGGCGACGAGGAGACGAGGAGACGAACCUGCUUGCCGGAGAGGAAGAAAAAACGCUUCGACGAAACGAAAUUAGCGAAAGCGAUACGAACGUUUUCGAAACGAGGAAGGUACGAGAGCCCGGAUCGAUAUCUCGGACUUGAUUUCUUUUUUGUAACACGUUAUAGCGGACUAAAACUAAGCAACGCGCUUAUGCUCCUUUUUUUUUUUUAUUUUACAUUUUUUUAUCCUUUACAUCGGCAUCGUAACGUCAGCAAAACAGUUAUUGUGCAAUUUUAAAAGAAGUUGACUCUUCAAAAUACCUAUAAACAUGUUUGUUUCUUUGUUAUUACUUACUAUCUCAACAUUGUACGUGCAGUUUAUCCCGUUAAGUUGUAUAAUGAAUGGAGAGAAAGAGAGAAAGAGAUGGAAAAAAAAAUAAAUAAAUAAAUAACAAGGGAAAAUAAUCGCCUUUAAAUUUAGGGGGAGAGAUGAUGGGGUACAAAGCACUGAUCAUAUGGGAUCAGAAUUUCGAAUCAAUCGUUGGCCGUUUCUGCAUCGUACAGCACGGCCUAGUUUAUCCCGCAAACCACUUGACUCGCUUACUCUCUAUAUAUAUAUAUAUAUAUAUUAUAUAUAUGUGUGUAUAUAAGAGCAUCACAUCCUACCAUAGAUCUGACGAGGCCUUGUAUUAAAACUGUUAACGUAUCAAGGUACCGCCGCCUGUCACUCAAGAAAAGGACCACCUUAGGCCCUCCGAAAUAACGCAAUUAUUACGAAACGAGUUUUUCGAAUUAGGUACAGUAAUUAUUCGUACACCUAGAGGUAUAUACGAUAAUAGGUUACAGGUUACGCAAGUUUAACCGUAUUGUGUUCGAUCGUUUUAACACAGAUUUUUGCUACGCACGAGUUCGCUCUUCGAUUCGCGAGUAUAAUCUUAAAACCUAAUUCAACGCGUUACGUGUGUACGUAUUACGCAACAUAUUGCACAGGUACGUGCGUAUCGAACAGACGUUUGACCGACGUAUUUUCGGUUGGUGAUUUUACAAAAAUUUU
This is a long non-coding RNA of Neodiprion fabricii, 1653 nucleotides long. RefSeq lists it as uncharacterized. Lineage: Eukaryota; Metazoa; Arthropoda; Insecta; Hymenoptera; Diprionidae. The record is from RefSeq and is a predicted model, not a curated record. The transcript has 3 exons.